This 851-nucleotide ribosomal RNA is filed under the name Gammarus komareki. Its description in RNAcentral is "partial 16S ribosomal RNA". The record is from RNAcentral. Lineage: Eukaryota; Metazoa; Arthropoda; Malacostraca; Amphipoda; Gammaridae.
AGUUUAAGAAUGCUUAAUGGCUGUACCUUUUGUAUCAGGGGAGUUUAAAAUUAUAGUAAAGAUUAUAUAGAUUUGACUGGAACCUUAUAUAAAAUCUAGUAGUGUAAUUUGGUAGGUUGAUGUAUUACGAGGUAAGAUGUUUACGGCGGUUUUAUUAUCUAAUUAUUUUGUUAGUGGGGGGAUAAGCUCUCGUAAAUUUACUGGGUAAGUAAGUGUUAAGAGAACUAGGCUUUAUAUUAGUUAGGUUCUUACGUUGUUUUAAAUAAUCUUUAGAUCAAGAAUUGACAGUAAAGUUAUUGAUUUGACGGCGAAGUAUAGCGAUUUUUGUUCACAAUGAAUUUAUUGCACGCGCUAUAAAAUCUUAAAAUGACUCAGAUUUGGCCAGAUAGUUUAGCAAAAACAUUUCCAUUCGAGGCAGGAGAGGUAAAGCCUGCCCGGUGAUAAAUUUAACGGCUGCGGUAUUUUGACUGUGCUAAGGUAGCAUAAUCAAUUGUUUUUUGAUUGAGAACUGGAAUGAAGGGUUUAACUGGCUAAGUAAGUUUGUAGGGUUGUUUGAUAGCUUAAAGACAAGGUAAGAAUUCUUUGAUUUUCUAGGGGACGAUAAGACCCUAGAAGCUUAAAAAGAAAAUAAGAGUUUAGUAACGAGAGUGAUUUUUUACUGGGGCGGUAAUAUCCCGUGAACGGUUAAAUUUAUGGUUGAUCCUUUAGAUAAAGAUGAGUCGGUUAAGUUACUCUAGGGAUAACAGUGUAAUAUUUUUGGAGAGACCAUAUCGAUAAAAGUGUUUGCAACCUCGAUGUUGAAUUAAGAUGUCUGUAUAAGGAAGCCGGUUUAUUAGAGGGUUUGUUCAACC